This 267-nucleotide ribosomal RNA is filed under the name uncultured bacterium. RNAcentral's name for it is "partial 16S ribosomal RNA". It matches the Rfam family "Bacterial small subunit ribosomal RNA", at positions 334 to 598 of the family's 1533-position model. The record is from RNAcentral.
CUGUCCUACGGGAGGCAGCAGUGAGGAAUAUUGGUCAAUGGGCGGGAGCCUGAACCAGCCAAGUCGCGUGAGAGACGACGGUCCUAUGGAUUGUAAACCUCUUUUGUCGGGGAACAAAGGCGCCAACGGGUGGGCGGAUGAGUGUACCCGAAGAAAAAGCAUCGGCUAACUCCGUGCCAGCAGCCGCGGUAAUACGGAGGAUGCGAGCGUUAUCCGGAUGUAUUGGGUUUAAAGGGUGCGAAGGCGGACAGUCAAGUCAGCGGUAAA